This is a non-coding RNA of Bacteroides sp. 43_108, 107 nucleotides long. NCBI's taxonomy places the organism in Bacteria, Pseudomonadati, Bacteroidota, Bacteroidia, Bacteroidales, Bacteroidaceae. The record is from Rfam.
ACAAAAUGGGUAAGUCCUAUACGACCAGCUCCUUGUGAAUCCUCCAGGGCUUGAUCGCAGCAAAGGCAACAGGUUGUAGCGGUGCGAUGUAGCCAGCUUACCCACCC